CACAGCAUGUCGUUCAACAGCCAUCAAAUGUCCAUCGUCGGUUCUUUUGUCCCCAGUGGACGUUGUUGCAGUGGAAGCAUUGAACACCAUACUGAGGACUACAUCCUGUAACGAAUACAUGCAUCAAUAUACGAAGAGUGGUGGUUCCCAGCCAUUAAAUGCUGUACGAAGAUGGAGAGAAGCUGUCACUCUUCAAAAGUCUCAUGUUUUCUGCCCGCCUGGUCCCAGGAUUAUUCCAUGUUUCUCCUACAUAGCAGCAUUGACACCAGUUUCAGAUGUGUACUGGAGGCUUCAUAAUUGUGCUGCUCGCGCAAGGCGACUGCCGAGCCCGUCACCUACUCGGCAGCCACAGUUUUGCGUCAGCCUCGCGGCUGGUGCUUGCAAGCGCCGCC
Molecule: long non-coding RNA, 392 nt
Organism: Schistocerca cancellata (South American locust)
Lineage: Eukaryota; Metazoa; Arthropoda; Insecta; Orthoptera; Acrididae
Exons: 3
Source: RefSeq, a predicted model, not a curated record